UACGAAGGGGGCUAGCGUUGCUCGGAUUGACUGGGCGUAAAGGGCGCGUAGGCGGUUCGUACAGUCAGACGUGAAAUUCCUGGGCUCAACCUGGGGGCUGCGUUUGAUACGUGCGGACUUGAGUGCGGAAGAGGGUCGUGGAAUUCCCAGUGUAGAGGUGAAAUUCGUAGAUAUUGGGAGGAACACCGGUGGCGAAGGCGGCGACCUGGUCCGAUACUGACGCUGAGGCGCGAAAGCGUGGGGAGCAAACAGG
RNAcentral lists this ribosomal RNA (253 nucleotides) under uncultured bacterium. Its description in RNAcentral is "partial 16S ribosomal RNA". It matches the Rfam family "Bacterial small subunit ribosomal RNA", at positions 524 to 776 of the family's 1533-position model. The record is from RNAcentral.